GGGUCCCCUCUUUAUCUGCCGCCUGGGGAAGACCAGGCCUGUUCCAUAUCUGUCUCUUUCCCACCCUGCUCCUCAGAAGGCCAAGGUUGGAUCUCUCUGCACUCUCACGGACCACAGUGUGCCUGUGUCUGUGUAGAGCCUGUGGUCUUAUGUCAGGUCUUGUGUUAACCCAAAGCACUAGUUUCUAAUUUCAGAUGCUGAGGUCAGUGGGGGUGGGGAGGAGAAAGGCGGCUUUGGGUGGGAAGGGUAUCUGAGUGUCUCAAAGCUGCGGUUCUCAGGCACGGACUUGCAGACCUGCUAGAGAGUCAGGGUAGCUUGAAGAAUAUUCGAGGAUUCCUGUACUCUUCAGCUCCCAUGCCCAGUCAAGUCAUGCCUCGAGUUCCUACAUGAGGCCCGUGUCCAUGCCUUAGUGUGCUCUUUGGGUGGUCUUUCAGCAGCUAUGAGAGUCCUUGGUGUGAGAGCGCUCCUGCGAAGCCGAGAUGGUGGCUCUGUCAGUGCUGACUGUCUGAACCAUGGACCAACACCGCUCACACCCUGUCUGGUGCUGUCAUAGGUUGCAGUUGGCUGCAUACUCGCCACAGCCCUGUGCCGGGCAGAGAACCAAGAAGGAAGCUUGGGCGUAAGAGGACGGAAACUGCCAACUAGUGUGACAAAGAUCUAAACCGCCCACGUGGUCUGUAAUCCUCUGCCUGCCCCGCCUCCCCCACCCAUGACCUCAGCCUGAGAACAGCUUGGACUUGUGCUCUUCAAGGUCUGACUCGGUCAGCCAUUUUCACAGGGAUGCAGAGGGGAGCCAGGGGCUCCAACCCUCUGCCUCCGACAGCAGUUGAUUGUGAAAUGCCCUGGCUAAUGUACACCAGCACAAGAAAAGGGAAUCUCUUUGGGGCUGCAAAUGCAGAGACUACAGCAGCCUUGAAGCAACUGUCUGUCUAUGGUUCUGUCCCUGGGCCAUACACGCGGUGUUUCUGGAAUCUACCCAGAGGCCUCUUCCUCCUUUAUUGAAGUCACACCUGUAGAGGCCUGGCCCUUUUUUCCCUUCCCAGUCCUGAGGGGGCACUGAGUGUCUAGAGCUGACCGUGCAGGACUGAGUAGGAGUAACAAUGUCUUAAGGUGUAGAAGAGCUGGACACAGUGAGAGCUGUCCUUGGUUUCCUGUCCAUGCAUGAGGUAACUGUCCUGCUGCCCUGCAGGCUGUGAAUCAAGUGAGCUAAAGAUAAGAUGGGAAUCAUACUCGGACAAGCAGACAGCAGCUUGCAAACCUGCGAUAACUGUGACAUCAUACUACAUGUUUCAGAGGUGAUCUGGCCUGUUCCAGGAAAGCUCAGAAUGACUCUAGCGUAAAUGCUCUCAAAAUGGCCAGCAGAGCCUCGAAGAGAUACUCAUAUUCUUAUGCUCCCAGCAACACUCUGCAUGACAGGAGGUAAAACUUAGACUUAGCAGUCUGUGUACAUCAGUGAGCAAAUGGGUAAGUAAAAUGUGGUGCACCAAUGAAUUAGUCAUGAAAAGGAAGGGGAUGGCACCAUGUACGCGGGCGCUUUUAAGCUUUCUUUCUACUGUUUGCAUGUCUAUUAGUUUAAGUCUCUGGGAUAUGUUGAUAGCAGGCAAACUGAAGAAGAGAGAAAAGAUCCCAGUUUUAUGCAUGUGCACAGUGGUCAUGUAAAACAGGAAACCAAAGGGUCAGAGUUUGACAUUCUGCUUUCCAGAAAGAACUAGGGAUUGAAGGCUUUGGAUGGAUGUCGAUGGGUAGUGGGAGGAUCAGAGGAGGGACUGCAUUGGUACACAAAGGUUGCCUUGUUAAGCAGAUAAAGUUUCAGGUAGUGGCCCGGAAGCAUAGGUGACAGGAUGUGUCAAAGUCUGUCCAGGAGAUACACUGACCUUCACUCUCUUUUCUGAGUCACACUCUUCCAGCCAAUGAGCCGAGGAAGGGAGUUACACUGCAGGCAGGUAAGGAGAGCUCACACAGGCCUGUCAUUUAACGUAAUCUGGGCACCAGAGAGCCACAUCUAGAGGUAAUCACUAGGUGAGCCUUUUAUGACAAGCCAUCUACAAAAGGGCAUACACCCUAAGAAAAGUCCUAUGAGUCCCACCUACAGGGUGUAACCGGGCAUAGUUUCACUUCUGUUGCCCUGGCAAAAUAGUUCAACCAAAACCAACUUUAAUAAACAAGACAACAGCAACAACACAAAGUCAAACUACUAGCCUGGGCCAGGUGCCAAAAGGCUUCAGUUCCAGCACUCAGGAGGCAAAAGCAGGAGGAUCUCUGUGAGUUCAAGGCCAGCUUGGCUUACUCAGAGUUCUAGGUCAGUUAGGACUAUGUAGUGGGACUGUGUCUCAAAUUAAGGAGCCAAGGAACAAAUAAAAGCAAUUUAGGUAAGAGAGGGUAUAUUUGACUUACAAUUCUACGUUACUCUCCAUUAUUGUGGAGACAUCAAGGCAGGAACUUAAAACAUUUACAGUCAAGAGCUAUGGGAAAAGAAUACAUGGCUGCUUGCUUUGCUGCUUUCUGUUUAUCUAGCUUUCAUCUGUAGGACCUCCUGCUUAGGGAAUAGUACCGCCCACAAUGAGUGGGGGUCUUCUCCAUCUUAACUUUCCAUUAACAGUCAAGACAAUCCCCAGUAGACAUGCCCAUAGGCCAAAGUGACUUUGGCAAUUCCCUACCUAGGCUCUCUUCUUAGAUGACUCUAGGUUCUGAGCCUGGAGUGAGGGCUCAGAAUUUAAAGGUACAGAAAGCAGUGGAGGGUGAUGACACACCCUUAAUCCUAGUGCCCAGGAGGCAGAGGCAGGUGGAUCUCUGGGAGUUAAAAGCCAGCCUCAGCCUCAUCUACAUAUACAUAGUGAGUUCCAGGACAGUCAGAGCUACUUAGUGAACCUUGUUUCAAGAAGAGGGGAGAGAGAGAGAGAGAGAGAGAGAGAGAGAGAGAGAGAGAGAGAGAGAGAGAGAGAGAGACAGAGAGAGAGACAGAGAGAGAGACAGAGAGACAGAGAGGAGAGAGACAGAGAGACAGAGAGACAGAGACAGACAGAAACAGAGAGAUUUAAAAAAAAGUAUACACUGCUCUUACAAAGGAUCUGAGUUUGAUUUCCAGCAUUAAUUAUCAGGCUGAGCAGUUAAGAGAACAUACUGUUCUUACAAAGGAACUUCAAGGCAGAAUCUUGCUAUGUAGACCGGGUUAACCUCAAAUUGUUUCCUCUACUCCCUAAGUAUUGGGACACCAGGCAUGGACUAGCACACCUGUCUGGAAGGUGGGUUUUAUGCUAAUCUCCACGGCAGAGUUCCUGUUCACGAUAAUGCCUUCCUCUGGUAACUACAUUCCGGGUUUGAGGUCUUCUGACUCAUACAGGGGUCCUUCUAGAAACCUCUUUCCAGUUGCUCUCCCUCGCAGCCACCACUGCAAUGAUCGGACAAACCCAAGGGCGAGGCACAGGCAUAACCCAAAAAGAGGGUCUUUUCCUGCCCCCGGAUUGGUUCCCCUUGACUUCCCUCCCCCCAGCACAGGCAAGCAGGCAGUCUCUGCUGAUUAUAAGACAGCUCCUGGCUGUCAGUUCUGCUUGAAUAAACUCCUUUGUCCUCAAGAAUUUUCCCAUGUCAAACAUUUAGUCUGCUGUGCUCUGGGUCAGCGAACAAGAUGAGUCUGAAUUUUUUCUUUUCUUUUCUUUUUUUUUUUUUUAGGAGCUGGGGACCGAACUUGCUCCUUGCAAGCGCUCUAUCACUGAGCUAAAUCCCCAACCCCCGAGUCUGAAUUUUUAAACAACCUUAUAAAUGGAAGACAUCUGUCUGCAAGACAGACACACCCAUCUGCUACACUGUCACCAGCUUUCAAGACCCUUCCUUAAAACCCUAUUGUUCUACAUUUUAGGUGCUAAAAAGUAUAGCUUAAAAAAAUAUAUUUAAUAAUAUAGGUAUAUGUUCUUGGGAGAUGGAAGUCAACCAGAACCCCCUCCGCACAGCACUCCCCCAUGGAGCAAUUAACUACUAAUGAUGGUUUGAUGUAUAUGUCUUCCUGAAACCUCAGAUUUUGCCCCCUGAACACAGACAUUACUGUUAUCAUCAUUACUAUCCACUAUAGCAACUGACCUGGCAGGAAUGAAGAUAUUUUAAAGACAGGCUAGUGUUUCUCAGUCUAUCAGAUUAUUGGGGGAAAAAAAAAUGACCUCAAGAAGCAGAGAUUUUGCCCAUGAAUCUCACGCUGGGCGGAGGCAAAGGCUCAGUCAGAGCAGAGCUUUUCUCCGAGAAGAUAGACUUACAGCUUGUCAGACACCUUACAGGAGAAGUGUGAAGUCUAGGCAAGGACAGGACCCACCUUGGUGGGGACCUCUUAGCUCUGAGUAUCCCUACUCUAUUUAAAGUCUAAUCGGACUUCGGACUCUUCAGAUGUGCUUGACGGAACGCCACUGGAUCUCUUUGUCCCUCUUCCUGGUGUGACCACAUUAAAUACAUCUCCCUUUUCAUUUUUACUACUAAUUUGGUUGUUUGAAUUGGAUCCUCAAGGAUGGGUGGCUGAACUUGAUUCCUUGGGGUACAGACUGUGGCCUUGAGUUUGGUAACACGUUACCAUGGAUUCUGUUUGGCAAUUGCUUUGGACAUAUAUUAAACUUCUUUUAGUAUCAGAACAUCGUUGUUUUCUUAGUUGAAGAUGUUCUAUUGUGUCUAUGAAUAACCACUUAUUUAACGAACUCCCUGGUGGUAUCUGGAAUCUGACCUCCCUCUUCCUAGUGUUUCCCUUAUACAGUGGAUAGAGUUGGACAGGUAUCGGUUUACUUGUGUGCUCUAUGGCUAUGAGAGGUAUUUCUAGAAGCCGUUAGGAAGCCCGUGGGUACUAGUCUUAAAUAAAUAAAGACAAAGCAAUGGAGUUGUAAGGAAGAAAAGAUUUAUUUAUUUAAAAUUGCUAUUAUGGUGAUGAUGAUGACAAUGAUGACGACGAUGACGAUGAUGUGUCUGAGCACUGUGUGAGGGGUAACACCCAUGCCAUGUCUCCCAUGUGGCAAUCAUAGGACUCCUCCACCUUCCUCUGAGUGUCAGGGGGUCUAACUCAGGUCAGGCUUGUAUGGCAAGCACUUUCCCCACUGGACGGACCAUCACACCCUUUCCCCAAAGACUUCUUUUCCUCACCCAUGGCAAAGGUCUACAACUGAUACGUCUAUAACAAAGGGCAGUUUGCUGAAAGAAAAGGGUGCACGGUUUAUUGACUAAAAUUGAAUGUGAAAUGGGAACCUUCAGAAGAGAAGACACACGGACACAGGGAGAACUGGACCUCUCUGCUUAGACGAAAUGGAUGGACAGCUGUGUGGAAUGGCUGGACAGAGAGGAAGUCUAAGUGACGAGAACAUGCUGGGGUGGGUGGGUUUAGCAAGGCCUGUUUGUUCACACUCCUUUCGGCUUCCAGGUACCACAGAGGACACCUGUCACACUUCCUUCAGCCGAAAGUUCUCAGCAUGCCAGGAGGUCAGGCUUCAGUGGCUUCACCUAACUUCGUAAGAAUUAGAUCUUGCCGGGGCCUUAGGGCUGCACACCUGUAAUCCCAGCACUCGGAAGGGAGAGGCAGUUGGAUCUCUGAGUUCCAGGCCUGGUCUACAGAUGGAGUUCCAUGAUAGCCAGGGCUACACAGAGAAACCCUGUCUUACAAAUCAACAAAACAUAACGAAAUAAACAAAAGAAAACUAAACAAAAAAUUAAAAAAAACCCCACUUUAUCUUGAUUGUAGUGGUAGUUGUAUGACUGUAUGUUUAUGAUUUUUAAAGCUUUAUAAUUUUUUAAAAAUUAAAUCAAUUAUACUAUACAAUAAAAAGAUUAAACCCUC
Rattus norvegicus (Norway rat) is the source of this 5797-nucleotide non-coding RNA. The record is from RefSeq and is a predicted model, not a curated record. NCBI's taxonomy places the organism in Eukaryota, Metazoa, Chordata, Mammalia, Rodentia, Muridae.